Long non-coding RNA from Pecten maximus, 526 nucleotides. RefSeq lists it as uncharacterized. The record is from RefSeq and is a predicted model, not a curated record. The transcript is spliced from 4 exons. Lineage: Eukaryota; Metazoa; Mollusca; Bivalvia; Pectinida; Pectinidae.
GGCGCCACAGGCGGUGACCCCGCAGGCAACCCCUAUACCGGCGCCACAGGCGGUGACCCCACAGGCAACCCCUAUAACGGCACCACAGGUGGUGACCCCGGAAACCCCUAUACCGACCGCGACUAAAAGGAAGAGGGAUGAGGAGUCACUAAGUAUACAUAUUUUCACUCUUCAAAUUUCAUAAGUGUAAAUCAUAUUUCGAUAUGUCGGCAUCAUAUAAAUGUGUUUUCCAGUUUGAAGAGCGACAGGCGAAGAAGGUGAAUGCAGAGUUCCUCGAAAAAAUUGACAUACUGACAUCCGACUUCCACAGAGUGAAGAUCGAUGAGGAGAUGAUCAAAACACUCAUCGCCUCAAUUUAGUUGUAAAGUACAUUCAUUUCCUCAUAAAUAAAGGCGGAACAAGGAACAAAUAUUAUCUAUACAGAAGUGAUAUAUGAUCAACGAGCAAUUGUACAUAUGAAAACAUCUUUAUUGAUUUUAAUGAAUAUAUAUGACAUGUUCUGUAUUAAAUAAACUUUAGAAUUUGA